This is a long non-coding RNA of Sander lucioperca (pikeperch), 1917 nucleotides long. Lineage: Eukaryota; Metazoa; Chordata; Actinopteri; Perciformes; Percidae. The record is from Ensembl.
CAGGGCUUUUGAUAAUACUCUGGCUAAAGCGAUUUGUCUAUAAUUAUCCACGCUCCCCACCUUGCCGACUUUAUCCUUAAUGAGAGGUGCAAGAGUAACGGACAACAUCGAGUCUGGUGCAGAAAUGGUAUAGGUUCAAAGUGUCGGCACCAAGAAUGUGAGAAUUGAGAUUAUAGGGAUCAUAAAAGCCAGUCAGGAGGAGACUUACCUGGAGGCAGAGUUCAACAACCAGCCGCACAUGUUUGUUGUGGAUUCUCUACUUCUGGCAAAGACGUUUAACUUCAAACUGGAUAAAGAUUUUGAAGAAAGCCUUCUUAAAAUAAAUAAUAAAUAAAAUACCACUCUCAGCAGAUGCAGAAAUACAAGGAACCGUAUCGCUGAACUCAACUGUAUACAGCAGAAUUGAAAAGAUGGAUCCUGUAGAGCAAGAAGAGCAAUAUUCGUCCCUGGAAGCAGCUGAACCCUCCAAAAUCUUCAAGAUGUCAUCAAGGCUUUUAGAAAAAAGGUGGAAAAGAGCGCUGAGCUCCAUCCUGGAGAAGCUGACUGAGCGACAAUUUGCGAAGAUGCUUUUCAAUCUGGUCAAAAUCCCUGUAAAAUUGAACACUGGCAAAGCCAGAAGAUAUAUCUCUUAUUUAAUCUUCGAGCACUUCGGGACAGAAGGGUCCAUCUCUGAAAUAGAUAAAAUAAUGAAGAUGAUACCAGUAAAUGACGCUGCCAUCCAGAAGCUGCUGCGGCCCUUUGUGGAGGAACUGAAGAAACAACGGCAGGAGGAAAAAGGGACGACGAGCAAUCAUGCUUCUGGUCCAGGAUCAGUGACCAAGAAGCCCAAAACUUUUUUUGACUUGGUCCAAUUGGGGCAAUUCAACAACGGAAUGUCCCAGUAGAGGACAUCGACCCAGUAGAGGACAUCGACCCAGUAGAGGACAUCGACCCAGUAGAGGACAUUGACCAAACAGUAGGGUUGGGUACCGAACGUAAAAUCAAAUGGUGCCAAAUUUCGGUACUUUCACGUGCAUCAGGAGCAGUGAGCACCAGCUGAGGAUAUGCCUGAAGGGUUCUACGAGCUGAGCGGACUAAGUCCGCUAUGAGCCAUCAAAGCUAAUGCUUUGCUAGCAAGAUUCAAAGUCAAUAACAUUGUGUACAGUUGACAAUCAGUAAUAAUAAUUGUAAGUAUGUUUAACAUCAAGACAAGCCAGCUAUCCAGCCAUGUCAUUAGCCGCUUUACGACCGGAGGGAUUUUUGCAGUUCCUAGAACAUAACGUUCCUAGAACCCUUUUUUUCUCAUGUUCCGACUGGACCAAUUUGGGGAUUUUUAAGUUCCUCUGGCCACAGUUCCUGUAACUCUUUCAGCUCCUACUUCAGGGUAGGGUCUUUUCCCUUUUCCCUUUCCCGCAUGUGGUGGUUAGAUGGCUGUGUUAUAAUAACAAAAGGUCAGUUCCUAUGGCCACUUGGCAAGUGUGAAUGCAAAUGGAAAAAACUGUUUUGGGGAAGAGUAGAUAGUAGAACUGUUUAGAAGUGGACAAUAUAACGACACUAAAGGGGCACUAAAACUUACUUCUUGCAGCUUGUGUGUUAGCGCCAUCCUGUGGUGUUCAGAGGACAAGGCACUGAAGCACAACUCAGGGUUGGAAAUAACAGAUUCACAUUUCCUUUUUGUUUUAAUGCAGCGCAUUGAUUUAGAACAGUAAACAGUCAGUUUCACCGGAAAACUCCUUUAGUAGGUGUCCUAUAACACUUUUUUCAAAUUCUUUUUGGCUCUUACCUGAAAGAGUUGACAUUCUUAAAAAAGAAUUACACGAGAACUACUUAGUAGUAGUAGCAGUAGUUUGAUCAAUGUUUGAGCUUGACAGUGUUUUUUUUUAAAUGUUUACUGGCCAUUGUUCAUACGUUCAUAUUUUUAUAUUUUUAGGAGGGGGA